CCUACGGGAGGCAGCAGUGAGGAAUAUUGGUCAAUGGACGAGAGUCUGAACCAGCAAAGUAGCGUGAAGGAUGACUGCCCUAUGGGUUGUAAACUUCUUUUAUAUGGGAAUAAAAUGUUCCACGUGUGGGAUUUUGUAUGUACCAUAUGAAUACGGAUCGGCUAACUCCGUUCCAGCAGCCGCGGUAAUACGGAGGAUCCGAGCGUUAUCCGGAUUUAUUGGGUUUAAAGGGAGCGUAGGUGGAUUGUUAAGUCAGUUGUGAAAGUUUGCGGCUCAACCGUAAAAUUGCAGUUGAUACUGGCAGUCUUGAGUACAGUAGAGGUGGGCGGAAUUCGUGGUGUAGCGGUGAAAUGCUUAGAUAUCACGAAGAACUCCGAUUGCGAAGGCAGUUCACUGGACUGCAACUGACACUGAGGCUCGAAAGUGUGGGUAUCAAACAGGAUUAGAUACCCGAGUAGUC
RNAcentral lists this ribosomal RNA (460 nucleotides) under uncultured bacterium. RNAcentral's name for it is "partial 16S ribosomal RNA". It matches the Rfam family "Bacterial small subunit ribosomal RNA", at positions 338 to 795 of the family's 1533-position model. The record is from RNAcentral.